This 19-nucleotide small nuclear RNA is filed under the name Arabidopsis thaliana (thale cress). Its description in RNAcentral is "snRNA_02551". The record is from RNAcentral. Lineage: Eukaryota; Viridiplantae; Streptophyta; Magnoliopsida; Brassicales; Brassicaceae.
UCAUCAAGCGGCUCUCAUG